AUUGAACGCUGGCGGCAUGCCUUACACAUGCAAGUCGAACGGCAGCGGGCCCUUCGGGGUGCCGGCGAGUGGCGAACGGGUGAGUAAUGCAUCGGAACGUACCCGGGAGAGGGGGAUAACCGGCCGAAAGGCUGGCUAAUACCGCAUGAACUCGGAAGAGCAAAGCGGGGGACCUUCGGGCCUCGCGCUCUCGGAGCGGCCGAUGUCCGAUUAGGCUAGUUGGUGGGGGAAAGGCCCACCAAGGCGACGAUCGGUAGCGGGUCUGAGAGGACGAUCCGCCACACUGGGACUGAGACACGGCCCAGACUCCUACGGGAGGCAGCAGUGGGGAAUCUUGGACAAUGGGCGCAAGCCUGAUCCAGCAAUGCCGCGUGGGUGAAGAAGGCCUUCGGGUUGUAAAGCCCUUUCGGCGGGGAAGAAAUCGGUCAGGCGAAUAGUCUGGCCGGAUGACGGUACCCGCAGAAGAAGCACCGGCUAACUACGUG
Molecule: ribosomal RNA, 485 nt
Filed under: uncultured bacterium
Lineage: Bacteria
Description: partial 16S ribosomal RNA
Rfam family: Bacterial small subunit ribosomal RNA
Source: RNAcentral